UGCUAUGGUAUGCACAAGUGUCUCCUCACUGAAAUCGCAUAUCAGAUUCCGACACUGUAAUGAACGUCCUUUCCAUUGUCACCUCUGUGACAAGGGUUUUAAGAACGCGUAUGAUCUGCAUAAACAUGUUGAAACACACAAUGAUUCAGAUGCCUACAGCUGUGAUGUUGAAGGAUGUGGUUUUACUUCAUGGACUUUACAAACUUUGAGACAGCAUUACAAGAGAGCACAUGUAAGUAAUGGCACUCUGAAAUGUAAAUGCCACAUCUGUCAGAAAGGUUUCUCCUGGAGUUAUAUAUUGACCCUACAUCUUCGAAAAGCUCAUAAACUCAGCAGUCAUUCUCAUUUCAGGUAUGUUGCCAGUUGAUUCUUGUUCAGAUCAUAAUUUUUUUAAAAAAGAUGUUUUG
This is a long non-coding RNA of Athene cunicularia (burrowing owl), 407 nucleotides long. RefSeq lists it as uncharacterized. The record is from RefSeq and is a predicted model, not a curated record. The transcript is spliced from 3 exons. Lineage: Eukaryota; Metazoa; Chordata; Aves; Strigiformes; Strigidae.